CAGCAGCCACGGGAAUACGUAGGUGGCAAGCGUUGUCCGGAAUUAUUGGGCGUAAAGGGUGCGUAGGCGGCUUGGUAAGUUAGAGGUGAAAUCCCAAGGCUCAACCUUGGAACUGCCUUUGAUACUGGAAGUCUUGAGUCCGGGAGAGGUGAGUGGAACUGCGAGUGUAGAGGUGAAAUUCGUAGAUAUUCGCAAGAACACCAGUGGCGAAGGCGGCUCACUGGCCCGGUACUGACGCUGAGGAGCGAAAGCGUGGGGAGCGAACAGGAUUAGAUACCCGGGUAGUCCCUGUCUCUUAUAC
RNAcentral lists this ribosomal RNA (301 nucleotides) under uncultured bacterium. RNAcentral's name for it is "partial 16S ribosomal RNA". It matches the Rfam family "Bacterial small subunit ribosomal RNA", at positions 509 to 807 of the family's 1533-position model. The record is from RNAcentral.